AGAGUUUGAUCCUGGCUCAGAACGAACGCUGGCGGCAUGCCUAACACAUGCAAGUCGAACGAAGGCUUCGGCCUUAGUGGCGCACGGGUGCGUAACGCGUGGGAAUCUGCCCUUUGGUUCGGAAUAACAGCUGGAAACGGCUGCUAAUACCGGAUGAUGACGAAAGUCCAAAGAUUUAUCGCCAGAGGAUGAGCCCGCGUUGGAUUAGGUAGUUGGUGGGGUAAAGGCCUACCAAGCCGACGAUCCAUAGCUGGUCUGAGAAGAUGAUCAGCCACACUGGGACUGAGACACGGCCCAGACUCCUACGGGAGGCAGCAGUGGGGAAUAUUGGACAAUGGGCGCAAGCCUGAUCCAGCAAUGCCGCGUGAGUGAUGAAGGCCCUAGGGUUGUAAAGCUCUUUUACCCGGGAAGAUAAUGACUGUACCGGGAGAAUAAGCCCCGGCUAACUCCGUG
Molecule: ribosomal RNA, 453 nt
Filed under: uncultured Sphingomonas sp.
Lineage: Bacteria; Pseudomonadati; Pseudomonadota; Alphaproteobacteria; Sphingomonadales; Sphingomonadaceae
Description: bacterial SSU rRNA
Rfam family: Bacterial small subunit ribosomal RNA
Source: RNAcentral